RNAcentral lists this ribosomal RNA (270 nucleotides) under uncultured archaeon. Its description in RNAcentral is "partial 16S ribosomal RNA". It matches the Rfam family "Archaeal small subunit ribosomal RNA", at positions 477 to 747 of the family's 1478-position model. The record is from RNAcentral.
CUGCAGCUCAAGUGGUGAUCAUUAUUAUUGGGCCUAAAACGUCCGUAGCCUGUUUAGUAAAUGCCUGGGUAAAUCGUGUAGCUUAACUAUACGAAUUCCGGGUAGACUGCUAAACUUGAGACCGGGAGAGGCUCGAGGUACUCCUGGGGUAGAGGUGAAAUUCUGUAAUCCUAGGGGGACCACCAGUGGCGAAGGCGUCUAGCUAGAACGGGUCUGACGGUGAGGGACGAAGCCCUGGGGCACAAACCGGAUUAGAUACCCGAGUAGUCC